Long non-coding RNA from Acromyrmex echinatior (Panamanian leafcutter ant), 2078 nucleotides. RefSeq lists it as uncharacterized. NCBI's taxonomy places the organism in Eukaryota, Metazoa, Arthropoda, Insecta, Hymenoptera, Formicidae. The record is from RefSeq and is a predicted model, not a curated record.
UCUUUCUUUCGUGUCAACAUGCGAGUGUGUUGGUAGUGACAAUUUUUAGUUAGGAACUAGUGGUGGAAUAUGAGGAAUAUUUUGAUGCGCAGGACAUCGGUAGCCGAAGUAAAUUCCAUAUGUUUUCGUCGGUUUGCUUUACGCAGACAUGGAAUCGAAAGCUUUUUCUGUGGACUAUUAAAAAAAAAUACUACCUUAUCUAAAUAAAGAUGCACAUGUCGGAAAAGAAGUUUUACGUGCGGGAAUUAACGUAAUAGAUGUCAAAAAUAAUAAGUCGUUGAAGAAAGCUGUCAAAAGUCGGCUUGCGAAGUCGAGGGGCUUCUAAUCUGAAAAGAAAAGCCAUAGAAAAAAAUAAGUUUCCGGAUGAGGGGGUCGAGAUAUAAAAUAUCCGCAAAGUCUGCAACACUUCAGUUUCUACUCAGUGUCGAGAUAGUCGUAUCGUGUUUAAACGUCCAAAAAUAAAAAAAAAUUCGAAAAGUACCACAGAGAAAAAGAACAAAAAAAGUGACGAAGAAAAAGAAAAUUCAUACUGCAGAAAAAAAAACUAUCCGCUAGGAAACAUCAAGAAACGUGACAUAUCUAAUAUAUUCUCUUAAUUGAGAUAAGAAUUCGCGGCUGGAGAAAAAGCAUGUCCUUUCUUCAUACUCACUCAAGCGAGUAUAAAGAGCGAACGAUUUCGCUCGAUUUCUUCUUUUUGCCUCCUACGCAAAUCAUUGAGAGCAGGGAUUUAUUACAAUAACAUCGCUCGCGGACGAUUUGCCCAUAGAAUUUGUCAUACUCAGACAUAAAGAAGACUAUCUGGAUCUCACUCACACCAUGUUGAGCCUUUGUAUACACAUAGAAAGCGAAUGCGGAGAGAGCACAUCAAUCGCACCCGACAACGUCGCAAAAGUAGGAUAAAUCCGUAAAUCAUUUACUGUAUUCCAUAUUCAAACAAAUCGACAUAUAUUUCAAUUAAAAGCUUGUGUCGUCACCAAACAACGCUUACGCUUAUCGCGCGUACAUCGAGGCGUUAUUAAAUUAUGCUUCACCCGCAAAAACUUCCUACCUAGUCUCCGGAUGCGGAUAUCCCCGGUUACAUGAACGACACGUUAGACUCAUCGACUUCAAAUACGGCGUUCAAGAGUCGCGCACAAUACAUUCAGGGAAAUCGCGCACUAGACCUUCACUCCGACAUUUCGAUUUUCAAUCAAAAUAAAAUUUUAAUUAAUGGAGUGGAAGUUAGAAUGAGACUCAUACGUUCGAAAGAUUUUGCUUUGUGGAGAGUAAAUCGAUGUCAAAAAUACGUAUUCUUGAUACACCUAUUCGUAAGGAGAGCAAAAAUAAAUCCGGUGUGCUACUCGCACACGCUAGAAUGCUAAAUAAAACUAUCACCAAGUAUCCUCUUACGAAAGUCGAAGUUAAAACAUUUACGAUACUCGCUGGCGUAGUAGGAGAAUCGAUAAACAAUGCAAUACUCGGACAGCUGCCGAAACGAAUAAUAGUCAGCUUUGUCGAUAAGGCGUUUAACAGCGAUAGAAAAUUGAACUCGUUUAAUUUCAAAAAUUACGGAAUAAAUUUCUUUUCACUGUACGCCGAUGGCAUGCAAAUUUCCAAUAGACCGUUACAGCCAAAUUUUUCGAAAGAGAAGCUGCUUUACGUGGAAGCUUAUCACACAUCUCAGUGACUCUCAAACGACUCAGUCAAAUAUGUCAAUAUAACAUCAAAACCGUCGUUUAUCGUCAUGGCGUUAAAGAAAUAAUUCAAUGAUGAAAAAUUGACAUCAUGUAGAAUGAUGUUUUAAGUGAGGAAAUAUCAUAGAAGAAGACAAAUUGUGACCGACGUAAUAGAAGAAUAUAACUGCGAAGAUGAUAAGACUGAAAACAUUGCAUUGUUGCGACUGAAAAUAGAUAUAAAAAAAUUAAUCACUUUGCGUAACUUUGCUAUAAUUUGCAGAAAUUGUAUUGUAUUUAACCGUUUUAUGAUUUUUAUUAAAUUUGCGUUAAUUUAUCGACAUGUAUACAUUGAGGAUGACCUGACAAAUAGAUCGAAACGUAUGUAUUUUUAAGAAUUUAAAUAUACGGAAAAUUUGGCUCUUA